RNAcentral lists this ribosomal RNA (369 nucleotides) under uncultured eukaryote. Its description in RNAcentral is "partial 18S ribosomal RNA". It matches the Rfam family "Eukaryotic small subunit ribosomal RNA", at positions 592 to 975 of the family's 1831-position model. The record is from RNAcentral.
CAGUAGCGUAUAUUAAAGUUGUUGCAGUUAAAAAGCUCGUAGUUGGACCUUGGACCUGGACAGGCGGUCCGCCUCACGGCGAGUACUGUCUUGCUGGGUCUUUCCUCUUGGUGAUCUGUUGUUUCGGCAGCAGGGAACCAGGACCUUUACUUUGAAAAAAUUAGAGUGUUCAAAGCAGGCUCGACGCCGGAAUAUAUUAGCAUGGAAUAAUAAAAUAGGACGUGCGGUUCUAUUUUGUUGGUUUUUGGAAUCGCCGUAAUGAUUAAUAGGGACAGUCGGGGGCAUUAGUACUCACAUGCUAGAGGUGAAAUUCUUGGAUUUUGUGAAGACUAACUUCUGCGAAAGCAUUUGCCAAGGAUGUUUNCAUUA